AAAUUGAAGAGUUUGAUCAUGGCUCAGAUUGAACGCUGGCGGCAGGCCUAACACAUGCAAGUCGAACGGUAACAGGAAGCAGCUUGCUGCUUCGCUGACGAGUGGCGGACGGGUGAGUAAUGUCUGGGAAACUGCCUGAUGGAGGGGGAUAACUACUGGAAACGGUGGCUAAUACCGCAUAACGUCGCAAGACCAAAGAGGGGGACCUUCGGGCCUCUUGCCAUCAGAUGUGCCCAGAUGGGAUUAGCUAGUUGGUGAGGUAACGGCUCACCAAGGCGACGAUCCCUAGCUGGUCUGAGAGGAUGACCAGCCACACUGGAACUGAGACACGGUCCAGACUCCUACGGGAGGCAGCAGUGGGGAAUAUUGCACAAUGGGCGCAAGCCUGAUGCAGCCAUGCCGCGUGUAUGAAGAAGGCCUUCGGGUUGUAAAGUACUUUCAGCGGGGAGGAAGGUGUUGUGGUUAAUAAC
This 470-nucleotide ribosomal RNA is filed under the name Salmonella enterica. Its description in RNAcentral is "bacterial SSU rRNA". It matches the Rfam family "Bacterial small subunit ribosomal RNA", at positions 1 to 467 of the family's 1533-position model. The record is from RNAcentral. Lineage: Bacteria; Pseudomonadati; Pseudomonadota; Gammaproteobacteria; Enterobacterales; Enterobacteriaceae.